AACGGCGAGUGAAGAGGAAAGAGCUCAAAGUUGGAACCUGUUUGGCCUAGCUAAACCGGAUUGUAGACUGUAGAAGUGUUUUCCAGGCAAGCCGAGUAAAUAAGUCCUUUGGAACAGGGCAUCAUAGAGGGUGAGAAUCCCGUCUUUGGCUUGAGCAUUUGCCUUUUGUGAUACGCUUUCAAAGAGUCAGGUUGUUUGGGAAUGCAGCCUAAAUUGGGUGGUAAAUCUCACCUAAAGCUAAAUAUUGGCGAGAAACCGAUAGCGAACAAGUACCGUGAGGGAAAGAUGAAAAGAACUUUGAAAAGAGAGUUAAACAGUAUGUGAAAUUGUUAAAAGGGAACCGUUUGGAGCCAGACUGGCUUGUCUGUAAUCAAUCUAGGCUUCGGCCUGGAUGCACUUGCAGGCUAUGCCUGCCAACGACAAUUUGACUUGAGGGAAAAAACUAGGGGAAAUGUGGCCCACUUGUGGGUGUUAUAGUCCCUUAGAAAAUACCUUGGGUUGGAUUGAGGAACGCAGCGAAUGCUUAUUGGCGAGUUUUCCAGGAAGGUUUUCUGAGGUACUACGGUAUCAAGGUUGAUCUUUUUGGUUAUACUUCUAUUCGCUUAGGUUGUUGGCUUAAUGACUCUAAAUGACCCGUCUUGAAACACGGACCAAGGAGUCCACCAUUAGUGCGAGUAUUUGGGUGCCAAACCCAUAUGCGUAAGGAAACUGAUUGAUACGAAUCCAUUAAGGAGGCAGUAUCGUCCGGCGCUGACGUUUUAUACUGAAUUGACCGAGACAAGCACUAAUGAUGGGACCCGAAAGAUGGUGAACUAUGCCUGAAUAGGGUGAAGCCAGAGGAAACUCUGGUGGAGGCUCGUAGCGAUUCUGACGUGCAAAUCGAUCGUCAAAUUU
RNAcentral lists this ribosomal RNA (894 nucleotides) under Rhizopus arrhizus. Its description in RNAcentral is "eukaryotic LSU rRNA". It matches the Rfam family "Eukaryotic large subunit ribosomal RNA", at positions 85 to 912 of the family's 3401-position model. The record is from RNAcentral. Lineage: Eukaryota; Fungi; Mucoromycota; Mucoromycetes; Mucorales; Rhizopodaceae.